AGUUACUGCCAUACCACCCUGACUGCACACGAUCUUGUCUGAUCUUGAAAGCAAAGCAAGGUCAGGCCUAGUUAGUACUUGGAUGGGAGACCACCUGGGAAUACAGGGUGCUGUAGGCU
This 119-nucleotide ribosomal RNA is filed under the name Moschus moschiferus (Siberian musk deer). The record is from RNAcentral. Lineage: Eukaryota; Metazoa; Chordata; Mammalia; Artiodactyla; Moschidae.